Molecule: unclassified non-coding RNA, 151 nt
Filed under: uncultured Mortierella
Lineage: Eukaryota; Fungi; Mortierellomycota; Mortierellomycetes; Mortierellales; Mortierellaceae
Description: sequence contains ITS1
Source: RNAcentral
CAAUGAGUGUUUUAUGGCACUCUUUAAAAAUCCAUAUCCACCUUGUGUGCAAUGUUUGUUGGGAGAGAGGCAACUCUUUCCCUUCACAAAUAUCAACCUAUAUCUUUAACUAAUUUGUCUGAAAAAUAUUAUGAAUACUUAAUUCAAAAUA